Brachypodium distachyon (stiff brome) is the source of this 107-nucleotide non-coding RNA. NCBI's taxonomy places the organism in Eukaryota, Viridiplantae, Streptophyta, Magnoliopsida, Poales, Poaceae. The record is from RefSeq and is marked provisional.
GUCUAUUUUCCUCUCCUCCCGGUACCCUUCUUCCGGUUUCCAUCCCGGUUGCCACCGACGCCGAUAGACGCCGGAAGAAGGGUAUCGGGAUGAGAGGAAAAUAGACU